Molecule: ribosomal RNA, 322 nt
Filed under: Allapsidae sp.
Lineage: Eukaryota; Cercozoa; Glissomonadida; Viridiraptoridae
Description: SSU rRNA
Rfam family: Eukaryotic small subunit ribosomal RNA (bases 106-322)
Source: RNAcentral
GAUUUCUGGCACGAUUUGCCUGGCCCGCCACGGUUUCGUGUGUGAGUGCCGGGUCGGAUCUGCCAUCCUUCCAGAGAACGUUCCUACCCUUCACUGGGCCGGGGACGCAAUCUGGAUCGUUUACUUUGAAAAAAUUAGAGUGUUUAAAGCAGGCUUGCGCUAUGAAUACAUUAGCAUGGAAUAAUAAUUUAGGACUUUGGUCUUAUUUUGUUGGUUUCUAGGACUAAAGUAAUGAUUGAUAGGGACAGUUGGGGGUGCUAGUAUUCAGCGGCCAGAGGUGAAAUUCUUGGAUUCGCUGAAGACUAACUUAUGCGAAAGCAUU